RNAcentral lists this ribosomal RNA (433 nucleotides) under uncultured bacterium. RNAcentral describes it as "partial 16S ribosomal RNA". It matches the Rfam family "Bacterial small subunit ribosomal RNA", at positions 29 to 507 of the family's 1533-position model. The record is from RNAcentral.
AACGAACGCUGGCGGCAUGCCUAACACAUGCAAGUCGAACGAGACCUUCGGGUCUAGUGGCGCACGGGUGCGUAACGCGUGGGAACCUGCCCUUAGGUUCGGAAUAACUCCCCGAAAGGGGUGCUAAUACCGGAUAAUGUCUUCGGACCAAAGAUUUAUCGCCUUUGGAUGGGCCCGCGUUGGAUUAGCUAGUUGGUAGGGUAAAAGCCUACCAAGGCGACGAUCCAUAGCUGGUCUGAGAGGAUGAUCAGCCACACUGGGACUGAGACACGGCCCAGACUCCUACGGGAGGCAGCAGUGGGGAAUAUUGGACAAUGGGCGAAAGCCUGAUCCAGCAAUGCCGCGUGAGUGAUGAAGGCCUUAGGGUUGUAAAGCUCUUUUACCCGGGAUGAUAAUGACAGUACCGGGAGACUAAGCUCCGGCUAACUCCGUG